UAGGGAAUAUUGCGCAAUGGGCGAAAGCCUGACGCAGCGACGCCGCGUGAGGGAUGAAGGUCUUCGGAUCGUAAACCUCUGUCAGCAGGGAAGAACGGUCACUGUGCUAAUCAGCAGUGAAUUGACGGUACCUGCAAAGGAAGCACCGGCUAACUCCGUGCC
Molecule: ribosomal RNA, 162 nt
Filed under: uncultured bacterium
Lineage: Bacteria
Description: partial 16S ribosomal RNA
Rfam family: Bacterial small subunit ribosomal RNA
Source: RNAcentral